This 468-nucleotide ribosomal RNA is filed under the name uncultured bacterium. RNAcentral's name for it is "partial 16S ribosomal RNA". It matches the Rfam family "Bacterial small subunit ribosomal RNA", at positions 28 to 507 of the family's 1533-position model. The record is from RNAcentral.
GACGAACGCUGGCGGCGUGCUUAACACAUGCAAGUCGAACGGAAAGGCCCUGCUUUUGUGGGGUGCUCGAGUGGCGAACGGGUGAGUAACACGUGAGUAACCUGCCCUUGACUUUGGGAUAACUUCAGGAAACUGGGGCUAAUACCGGAUAGGAGCUCCUGCUGCAUGGUGGGGGUUGGAAAGUUUCGGCGGUUAGGGAUGGACUCGCGGCUUAUCAGCUUGUUGGUGGGGUAGUGGCUUACCAAGGCUUUGACGGGUAGCCGGCCUGAGAGGGUGACCGGCCACAUUGGGACUGAGAUACGGCCCAGACUCCUACGGGAGGCAGCAGUGGGGAAUAUUGCACAAUGGGCGGAAGCCUGAUGCAGCAACGCCGCGUGCGGGAUGACGGCCUUCGGGGUGUAAACCGCUUUCGCCUGUGACGAAGCGUGAGUGACGGUAAUGGGUAAAGAAGCACCGGCUAACUACGUG